GACGAACGCUGGCGGCGUGCUUAACACAUGCAAGUCGAACGGAAAGGCCCUGCUUUUGUGGGGUGCUCGAGUGGCGAACGGGUGAGUAACACGUGAGUAACCUGCCCUUGACUUUGGGAUAACUUCUGGAAACUGGGGCUAAUACCGGAUAGGAGCUCCUGCUGCAUGGUGGGGGUUGGAAAGUUUCGGCGGUUGGGGAUGGACUCGCGGCUUAUCAGCUUGUUGGUGGGGUAGUGGCUUACCAAGGCUUUGACGGGUAGCCGGCCUGAGAGGGUGAGCGGCCACAUUGGGACUGAGAUACGGCCCAGACUCGUACGGGAGGCAGCAGUGGGGAGUAUUGCACAAUGGGCGGAAGCCUGAUGCAGCAACGCCGCGUGCGGGAUGACGGCCUUCGGGUUGUAAACCGCUUUCGCCUGUGACGAGGCGUGAGUGACGGUAAUGGGUAAAGAAGCACCGGCUAACUACGUG
Molecule: ribosomal RNA, 468 nt
Filed under: uncultured bacterium
Lineage: Bacteria
Description: partial 16S ribosomal RNA
Rfam family: Bacterial small subunit ribosomal RNA
Source: RNAcentral